GAGGACAUAGCUCAGUGGUAGAGCGUGUGCUUAGCAUGCACAAGGUCCUGGGUUCAACCCCAGUCCCUCCA
Molecule: transfer RNA, 71 nt
Filed under: Camelus ferus (Wild Bactrian camel)
Lineage: Eukaryota; Metazoa; Chordata; Mammalia; Artiodactyla; Camelidae
Rfam family: tRNA
About the family: Transfer RNA (tRNA) molecules are approximately 80 nucleotides in length. Their secondary structure includes four short double-helical elements and three loops (D, anti-codon, and T loops). Further hydrogen bonds mediate the characteristic L-shaped molecular structure. tRNAs have two regions of fundamental functional importance: the anti-codon, which is responsible for specific mRNA codon recognition, and the 3' end, to which the tRNAs corresponding amino acid is attached (by aminoacyl-tRNA synthetases). tRNAs cope with the degeneracy of the genetic code in two manners: having more than one tRNA (with a specific anti-codon) for a particular amino acid; and 'wobble' base-pairing, i.e. permitting non-standard base-pairing at the 3rd anti-codon position.
Source: Rfam by way of RNAcentral